Peromyscus maniculatus bairdii (prairie deer mouse) is the source of this 801-nucleotide long non-coding RNA. RefSeq lists it as uncharacterized. NCBI's taxonomy places the organism in Eukaryota, Metazoa, Chordata, Mammalia, Rodentia, Cricetidae. The record is from RefSeq and is a predicted model, not a curated record.
UGUUCAGUGCCCUUAUAUUGAUCCAUACAUGUUUGCAAGACUGUGCAGGAUGCUUUGGAGAAAGAAUGGAGAGCAUAAGGAGACCAGAGAGAGGCAGAAGAAAGCUGGCCUUCAGCCUCAGUGUCAGACACUGGGAAAUAAGUGGUCAGGGGAAAGGCACAGAUGAAAAUGAGACUCAAUGGCUGCCUGAGCACUUGGUGCAGUGUGUAGAACAGAGGAAUGCUGGCCCUGAUGACACUGUAGCUGCUGAUGCUCCCCCAGAGGAACUGGAGUGAGAGUUGCUGAACCUGUGUUCCUGAUCCUCCAAUGUUACAUCCUGCAUUCUGGGAAUGGAGAGAAUGGUUCCCAGGCUCCUGAUUUCCCAGGCCUCUUUGCUCACUGUAACAGCAGCACAAUUGGACACAGUGAAUGACAUCAUCAAGAAGUUAGGACCAUUGCUGAAAUACCUGCAAGAGACUUGAAAAUUCUUUUUAUUUAUUCAAUGUCUUUUUUGUGAUCCAUUAGUAUUUAAAUAAAUGAAUAAACAUCAUAGAGAAAUACCUCAUUACCCUAUGUAUGAAAAUUUUCUAUCUCCUUCCACUUUCAGAAGUCAUCUGACAGAUUACAUUUGUCUAUAUAUGGCCACUGCUCUUGUAUUUUCCAAUGAAAUUCCAUGUAAGUGAGCCCAUGUGAAGUGCAUUUGUACCACUAGAGCACAAUAAGCUCUGUGUAUGUGACAUGAAAAUGCAUGUAUACACAAAUUGUAUGAAUUGUUUGUAAAUAUAUGUACAUACCCAAUGAACAUGAUGUAACAUUGUCAAU